RNAcentral lists this ribosomal RNA (253 nucleotides) under uncultured bacterium. RNAcentral's name for it is "partial 16S ribosomal RNA". It matches the Rfam family "Bacterial small subunit ribosomal RNA", at positions 524 to 776 of the family's 1533-position model. The record is from RNAcentral.
UACGUAGGGGGCAAGCGUUAUCCGGAUUUACUGGGUGUAAAGGGAGCGUAGACGGUUAUGCAAGUCAGAAGUGAAAGCCCAAAGCUCAACUUCGGGACUGCUUUUGAAACUGUGUAACUAGAGUGCAGGAGGGGUAAGCGGAAUUCCUAGUGUAGCGGUGAAAUGCGUAGAUAUUAGGAGGAACACCAGUGGCGAAGGCGGCCUGCUGGACGACAACUGACGCUGAGGCGCGAAAGCGUGGGGAGCAAACAGG